GCUUAGUGGCGGACGGGUGAGUAACGCGUGAGUAACCUGCCUCUCAGAGGGGGAUAACGUUCUGAAAAGAACGCUAAUACCGCAUAUAAUCAAGAAACCGCAUGAUUUUUUGAUGAAAGGAGCAAUCCGCUGAGAGAUGGACUCGCGUCUGAUUAGCUAGAUGGUGGGGUAACGGCCUACCAUGGCGACGAUCAGUAGCCGGACUGAGAGGUUGAACGGCCACAUUGGGACUGAGACACGGCCCAGACUCC
Molecule: ribosomal RNA, 251 nt
Filed under: uncultured Eubacteriales bacterium
Lineage: Bacteria; Bacillati; Bacillota; Clostridia; Eubacteriales
Description: uncultured Clostridiales bacterium partial 16S ribosomal RNA
Rfam family: Bacterial small subunit ribosomal RNA
Source: RNAcentral